UCGGAAGUGAGUUUACGGGUUGAUUAUACAAAUUUGUCUGAAUAUACAAAAAAUAACCGAAAUAUAGUAUAAAAAUGAGCUGACCGUAGGCUUUAGCAGCACACAUAACCAGGGUCUGCUGCUAAACACUCAAAUAUGCUUGCUAUGUCAAACGACAACUAUGAGGAAGUUGUUAUGGAAGGCAAGCUUGAACGCGGCAUUAUUUGCCGAGAGUAUGUAUAAAAGCUAUUGCAACUCAAUUUGUGUGUGCAAAACUGUGGAAAGUUGAUAAUUCCAUACAUUUUGAACUGCUUUUGCACGAAUUUAAUGAGGAACAUGGCAAAUCCAAUUAAUAAACGUCAAGCGGCUGGGUGAUCGACCGCAGCCUGGACAUCUGCAGCCUAGAGUUCGAUAAAACACCAUUAAUGGUUACAUUUUGCUGCACCUUUUGUAAUUUACAUGUUAAGCAUCACUUGUGCAGUGCCCGAUGAUUGCAGUUUGCAUAAAUUAAAUAUCGUUAUGAAUUUGUAUGCUAAUACCUAUGCACUACGCGGUAUAUUUAUGCUUCGUUAUGAAUAGCAAGUUGUUGCGGCAGUAAUUAAAUUGUAAAUGUUGGCGAAAAUGUGUGCAAUAAUAAUUGCGAAAUGGUUAAAGUUAUCGAUUGCAUGUGUAAAUUAAAAGGUUUGUGGUUGUUAUUGGUUUAUAAAAAACAUAUAUUCGUAAAAUGCUAUAUUCUAACCUAAAA
This is a long non-coding RNA of Bactrocera latifrons, 724 nucleotides long. RefSeq lists it as uncharacterized. The record is from RefSeq and is a predicted model, not a curated record. NCBI's taxonomy places the organism in Eukaryota, Metazoa, Arthropoda, Insecta, Diptera, Tephritidae. The transcript has 3 exons.